AUCCAGCUGACGAGUCCUAAAUAGGACGAAAUGCACUUCUUGCAU
Molecule: non-coding RNA, 45 nt
Filed under: Schistosoma margrebowiei
Lineage: Eukaryota; Metazoa; Platyhelminthes; Trematoda; Strigeidida; Schistosomatidae
Source: RNAcentral